Molecule: ribosomal RNA, 381 nt
Filed under: uncultured microorganism
Description: bacterial SSU rRNA
Rfam family: Bacterial small subunit ribosomal RNA
Source: RNAcentral
GAGUUUGAUCUUGGCUCAGAGUGAACGCUGGCGGUAGGCCUAACACAUGCAAGUCGAACGGCAGCACAGAGGAGCUUGCUCCUUGGGUGGCGAGUGGCGGACGGGUGAGGAAUACAUCGGAAUCUACGUCUGUCGUGGGGGAUAACGUAGGGAAACUUACGCUAAUACCGCAUACGACCUACGGGUGAAAGCAGGGGAUCUUCGGACCUUGCGCGGUUGAAUGAGCCGAUGUCGGAUUAGCUAGUUGGCGGGGUAAAGGCCCACCAAGGCGACGAUCCGUAGCUGGUCUGAGAGGAUGAUCAGCCACACUGGAACUGAGACACGGUCCAGACUCCUACGGGAGGCAGCAGUGGGAAUAUUGGACAAUGGGCGCAAGCCUGA